UAGGGAAUCUUCGGCAAUGGACGAAAGUCUGACCGAGCAACGCCGCGUGAGUGAAGAAGGUUUUCGGAUCGUAAAACUCUGUUGUUAGAGAAGAACAAGGAUGAGAGUAAAACGUUCAUCCCUUGACGGUAUCUAACCAGAAAGCCACGGCUAACUACGUGCCAGCAGCCGCGGUAAUACGUAGGUGGCAAGCGUUGUCCGGAUUUAUUGGGCGUAAAGCGAGCGCAGGCGGUUUCUUAAGUCUGAUGUGAAAGCCCCCGGCUCAACCGGGGAGGGUCAUUGGAAACUGGGAAACUUGAGUGCAGAAGAGGAGAGUGGAAUUCCAUGUGUAGCGGUGAAAUGCGUAGAUAUAUGGAGGAACACCAGUGGCGAAGGCGGCUCUCUGGUCUGUAACUGACGCUGAGGCUCGAAAGCGUGGGGAGCAAACA
This 428-nucleotide ribosomal RNA is filed under the name uncultured bacterium. RNAcentral's name for it is "partial 16S ribosomal RNA". It matches the Rfam family "Bacterial small subunit ribosomal RNA", at positions 355 to 774 of the family's 1533-position model. The record is from RNAcentral.